This 468-nucleotide ribosomal RNA is filed under the name uncultured bacterium. RNAcentral describes it as "partial 16S ribosomal RNA". It matches the Rfam family "Bacterial small subunit ribosomal RNA", at positions 28 to 507 of the family's 1533-position model. The record is from RNAcentral.
GACGAACGCUGGCGGCGUGCUUAACACAUGCAAGUCGAACGGAAAGGCCCUGCUUUUGUGGGGUGCUCGAGUGGCGAACGGGUGAGUAACACGUGAGUAACCUGCCCUUGACUUUGGGAUAACUUCAGGAAACUGGGGCUAAUACCGGAUAGGAGCUCCUGCUGCAUGGUGGGGGUUGGAAAGUUUCGGCGGUUGGGGAUGGACUCGCGGCUUAUCAGCUUGUUGGUGGGGUAGUGGCUUACCAAGGCUUUGACGGGUAGCCGGCCUGAGAGGGUGACCGGCCACAAUGGGACUUGGAUACGGCCCAGACUCCUACGGGAGGCAGCAGUGGGGAAUAUUGCACAAUGGGCGGAAGCCUGAUGCAACAACGCCGCGUGCGGGAUGACGGCCUUCGGGUUGUAAACCGCUUUCGCCUGUGACGAAGGGUGAGUGACGGUAAUGGGUAAAGAAGCACCGGCUAACUACGUG